RNAcentral lists this ribosomal RNA (86 nucleotides) under Klebsiella pneumoniae. The record is from RNAcentral. Lineage: Bacteria; Pseudomonadati; Pseudomonadota; Gammaproteobacteria; Enterobacterales; Enterobacteriaceae.
CCUGGCGGCACUAGCGCGGUGGUCCCACCUGACCCCAUGCCGAACUCAGAAGUGAAACGCCGUAGCGCCGAUGGUAGUGUGGGGUA